UACGAAGGGCGCUAGCGGUGUUCGGAAUCACUGGGCGUAAAGCGCACGUAGGCGGACGUGUCAGUCAGGGGUGAAAUCCCGGGGCUCAACCUCGGAACUGCCUUUGAUACAGCACGUCUUGAGUCCGGAAGAGGUGGGUGGAAUUCCUAGUGUAGAGGUGAAAUUCGUAGAUAUUAGGAAGAACACCGGUGGCGAAGGCGGCCCACUGGUCCGGUACUGACGCUGAGGUGCGAAAGCGCGGGGAGCAAACAGG
This 253-nucleotide ribosomal RNA is filed under the name uncultured bacterium. RNAcentral describes it as "partial 16S ribosomal RNA". It matches the Rfam family "Bacterial small subunit ribosomal RNA", at positions 524 to 776 of the family's 1533-position model. The record is from RNAcentral.